GUGGACGCCAGUCUGCAUGGAGCCGACCUUGAAAUACCACCCUUUAAUGUUUGAUGUUCUAACGUGGACCCGUGAUCCGGGUUGCGGACAGUGUCUGGUGGGUAGUUUGACUGGGGCGGUCUCCUCCUAAAGAGUAACGGAGGAGCACGAAGGUUGGCUAAUCCUGGUCGGACAUCAGGAGGUUAGUGCAAUGGCAUAAGCCAGCUUGACUGCGAGCGUGACGGCGCGAGCAGGUGCGAAAGCAGGUCAUAGUGAUCCGGUGGUUCUGAAUGGAAGGGCCAUCGCUCAACGGAUAAAAGGUACUCCGGGGAUAACAGGCUGAUACCGCCCAAGAGUUCAUAUCGACGGCGGUGUUUGGCACCUCGAUGUCGGCUCAUCACAUCCUGGGGCUGAAGUAGGUCCCAAGGGUAUGGCUGUUCGCCAUUUAAAGUGGUACGCGAGCUGGGUUUAGAACGUCGUGAGACAGUUCGGUCCCUAUCUGCCGUGGGCGCUGGAGAACUGAGGGGGGCUGCUCCUAGUACGAGAGGACCGGAGUGGACGCAUCACUGGUGUUCGGGUUGUCAUGCCAAUGGCACUGCCCGGUAGCUAAAUGCGGAAGAGAUAAGUGCUGAAAGCAUCUAAGCACGAAACUUGCCCCGAGAUGAGUUCUCCCUGAGACUUAAAGUCUCCUGAAGGAACGUUGAAGACGACGACGUUGAUAGGCCGGGUGUGUAAGCGCAGCGAUGCGUUGAGCUAACCGGUA
RNAcentral lists this ribosomal RNA (742 nucleotides) under Salmonella enterica. RNAcentral describes it as "partial 23S ribosomal RNA". It matches the Rfam family "Bacterial large subunit ribosomal RNA", at positions 2164 to 2900 of the family's 2925-position model. Lineage: Bacteria; Pseudomonadati; Pseudomonadota; Gammaproteobacteria; Enterobacterales; Enterobacteriaceae. The record is from RNAcentral.